This is a long non-coding RNA of Phymastichus coffea, 572 nucleotides long. RefSeq lists it as uncharacterized. The transcript has 5 exons. The record is from RefSeq and is a predicted model, not a curated record. Lineage: Eukaryota; Metazoa; Arthropoda; Insecta; Hymenoptera; Eulophidae.
UACGCGUCCAACGUGCUCAACGUAUUAUCUUGAUUAAUUUUCUGUAUCAAUUUAAAUAUUUAUCAAUAUGCAGCUUAUGCAUGUUGCUCUUGAAUGAUCAGAUCACCUGAUUGAAGAGAAGAUAUCGACAUUCUCCAGUCUUCAAUCCAAAAAAAGGAACAGCUCUUUAAACUCAAAAAAGAAGUCUAACGACAACAAAAAUAUUUUUGAAGCGCAGUCUUUAUAAUAAAUACAAUGAGUUACUUUGAAGCCUUAGCUGGAUAAUUAUUCAUUCACACAACAUUCUACUAAGUUUUGUGAUUUGUACAGCAAUUGUUCUGAUUUUCCUCUGUAAAUUCAUAAAACAAUCAGUUUAAAGCAGUCUUGGUUGAGGUUUGGAAAUUAAAUUUUUUUAUCAACUUUCAAGCUUAAAAACUUGCAUGGCUCAAAUUUUGGUUCUCUAUUUGUACAUGUGAAUUUAUCUUGUGAUUUCAACGUUGUAUAGAAUGUACAGUGCCGGUCAGCCACUUUUACCCCCCCGCGGGCAAAAUCAGUCUAACUUCAAAGUUUUAUAUCUCUGGUAGAAAUUAACG